This 767-nucleotide unclassified non-coding RNA is filed under the name Hevea brasiliensis (rubber tree). The record is from RNAcentral. Lineage: Eukaryota; Viridiplantae; Streptophyta; Magnoliopsida; Malpighiales; Euphorbiaceae.
UAUCGCCGCUGGAUUAUAGAUGGAAUUCCUGGAGUGGGUAGAGGUCCCAUUCUUGAUCUCGUUGCAGGAUCGUUUGCUGGUGGAACUGCUGUACUUUUUACCUAUCCACUUGAUUUAGUUCGAACUAAACUGGCUUACCAGGUAGUUGGAUCCCAAAAGUUGAAUAUACAAGGGAUUGUUGCUGGUGAACAAGUUUACAAGGGAAUAAAGGAUUGUUUUUCAAAGACAUACAAGGAAGCUGGAAUAAAGGGACUAUACCGUGGAGUUGCUCCGUCACUCUAUGGAAUCUUCCCCUAUGCUGGGCUGAAAUUUUACUUCUACGAGACAAUGAAGAGCCAUGUCCCUAAGGAGCGGAAGAAUGAUAUCACGAUAAAACUAGCUUGUGGAUCUGUAGCAGGACUUCUAGGACAAACUUUCACUUAUCCUCUAGAUGUGGUUAGGCGGCAAAUGCAGGUCCAGAGACUCUCAGCAUCUAACAGCCACGAACUGAAAGGAACAGCAGAUACUCUUGUUAUGAUUUUACAAAAACAUGGAUGGAAACAACUGUUUUCCGGGCUCAGCCUCAAUUAUCUGAAGGUUGUACCAUCUGUUGCGAUUGGGUUUACUGUUUACGAUUUGAUGAAAGCGUACCUGAGAGUACCAUCACGAGAUGAGGCUGUUGUAGAAGUCGUCACUAGUAACAGAGAUAGUCAACCAUCGACCCUGCACUCCUAACAAUCUUCUUCAGGCUCAGCGAUUGUCAAGUACAAUUUCGGGGCCAUCUUGAG